This 224-nucleotide long non-coding RNA is filed under the name Trifolium pratense (red clover). RNAcentral describes it as "long non-coding RNA (TPRA_LNC001391)". Lineage: Eukaryota; Viridiplantae; Streptophyta; Magnoliopsida; Fabales; Fabaceae. The record is from RNAcentral.
ACCUCUCUUUUGUAUAGUUAUAGUUAGUUGAAUAGCUCACACCACAAGGAAAAUGUUUCAUUGUUUCAAUAAAGGCAAAACAAAUAAAGCAAGCAAAAACCAUGUUACUUGUAUCUUUAUUAAGUUGGAGGUUGCAUAUAUAGCUGCACUUCCCAACCUUUCUCCUUGUGAUGUAUGGGCUAUUCAGUUGUUUAUUAUUAAUGGUUUGUAAUAAAAAAAAAUAA